GACGAACGCUGGCGGCGUGCUUAAUGAAUGCGAGUCGAGCGAGAACCGGACUGAGGAAACCUUCGGGUGGAAUCAGUCUGGGGAGAGCGGCAAACGGGUGAGUAACACGUGGGUAACCUGCCCCUCAGACGGGGAUAAUUCGCCGAAAGGCGGACUAAUACCCGAUGGUGAUGUGCCAACACAUGUUGAUACAUCUAAAGGCUCCGGUGCUGAGGGAGGGGUCCGCGGCCGAUUAGCUUGUUGGUAGGGUAACGGCCUACCAAGGCUUCGAUCGGUAGCCGGUCUGAGAGGAUGACCGGUCACACUGGGACUGAGACAUGGUCCAGACUCCUACGGGAGUUAGCAUCAGGGAAUCUUGCGCAAUGGGCGAAAGCCUGACGCAGCGACGCCGCGUGGGUGAUGAAGGCCUGCGGGUCGUAAAGCCCUGUCGGGAGGGAAGAAACAGCACCUUCGGGUGCUUUGACUGUACCUCCGGAGGAAGCCCCGGCUAAUUACGUGCCAGCAGCCGCGGUAAUACGUAAGGGGCCAGCGUUGUCCGGAAUUACUGGGCGUAAAGAGCACGUAGGCGGUUAGGAAAGCGAUAGGUGAAAUCCCCCGGCUCAACCGAGGAACUGCUUAUCGAACUGCCUGACUAGAGCACGGGAGAGGGCACUGGAAUUCCUGGUGUAGCGGUGGAAUGCGUAUAUAUCAGGAGGAACACCGGUGGCGAAGGCUGGUACCUGGAACGUUGCUGACGCUAAGGUGCGAAAGCCAGGGGAACAAACGGGAUUAGAUACCCCGGUAGUCCUGGCCGUAAACGAUGGACACUAGGUGUUGGAGGUUCGACCCCUUCAGUGCUGUUAAGCUAACGCGUUAAGUGUCCCGCCUGGGGAGUACGGUCGCAAGGCUGAAACUCAAAGGAAUUGACGGGGGCCCGCACAAGCGGUGGAGCAUGUGGGUCAAUGGGAUGAUACGCCGAGAACCUUACCAGGGCUUGACAUGACCCUGAUCCCCUGCGAAAGCAGGUCUUCUGGGCAACCAGACAGGGCCACAGGUGGUGCAUGGUUGUCGACAGCUCGUGUCGUGAGAUGUUGGGUUAAGUCCCGCAACGAGCGCAACCCUCGCCGGAUGUUGCCAGCGGUUAGGCCGGGCACUCUUCCGGGACUGCCGGAGUAAUCCGGAGGAAGGGGGGGAUGACGUCAAAUCUGCAUGCCCCUUAUGUCCUGGGCUGCACACGUGCUACAAUGGCGAGUACAAAGGGUCGCGAAGCCGCGAGGCCCAGCUAAUCCCCAAAAACUCGUCCCAGUACGGAUUGGAGUCUGCAACUCGACUCCAUGAAGUCGGAAUCGCUAGUAACCGUGGAUCAGCAAUGCCGCGGUGAAUACGUUCCCGGGCCUUGUACACACCGCCCGUCAAGUCACGGAAGCCGACAGCACCCCAAGUCCGCUACGGCGGCCCAAGGUGAGGUCAGUGACUGGG
This 1458-nucleotide ribosomal RNA is filed under the name uncultured bacterium. Its description in RNAcentral is "16S ribosomal RNA". It matches the Rfam family "Bacterial small subunit ribosomal RNA". The record is from RNAcentral.